GUCCUGAUAUACUUUCCUGCAUUUAUUUCAUAAGGUUGCUGAUUACAGAUUUUACCCCUGUUGCUUUUAGAGUUAUGGCCUUACAUGGAAAACUAUCUGGCCUUAGGCAGCAAGCUGAAAUGUUGUUAUACACGUGUCCAUUGUCUCCAGAAAGAAGGACGUCAUCACUCAGUUCUUCUCCAAAAAUCUUCCCAGAUCUCCCUGAAAAUAUCGUGCUCACUAAAGAAAUGAAGGCUAUAUUUUUUGAGUGUUGCAGUGAAAUAGAAGGUCUGCUUUCAAGAAGUGAAUACUUGCCCCUAAAAAUUGAGGUUCCAUUUGAAGCGGCUUUGUCCACUGCAAAGAUGCUGGAGAUGCUUUUUGAUCCCUCUUCAGGCUAUGUCUUAAAGUCAAACACCAUUUUCAAGUGGAUUACAUCUUUUCUUAAAUGAGCACUCUUUAUACUGCAACCUUUACAAGGACAGAGGGAAUUCAAUAGUGUUUUGUUCUGAAUUAGCUGGAAAUUAUGGUUAUUAUGGUUUUGCUGUAAAAUAAAAAACAAAGAGUGUCUUCC
RNAcentral lists this long non-coding RNA (550 nucleotides) under Phascolarctos cinereus (koala). Its description in RNAcentral is "lncRNA (ENSPCIG00000035644.1)". Lineage: Eukaryota; Metazoa; Chordata; Mammalia; Diprotodontia; Phascolarctidae. The record is from RNAcentral.